RNAcentral lists this ribosomal RNA (253 nucleotides) under uncultured bacterium. RNAcentral describes it as "partial 16S ribosomal RNA". It matches the Rfam family "Bacterial small subunit ribosomal RNA", at positions 524 to 776 of the family's 1533-position model. The record is from RNAcentral.
GACGAACCGUCCGACCGUUAUUCGGAAUCACUGGGCUUAAAGGGUGCGUAGGCGGCGCGGAAAGUUGGGUGUGAAAUCCCUCGGCUCAACCGAGGAACUGCGCCCAAAACUACCGUGCUCGAGGGAGAUAGAGGUGAGCGGAACUUAGGGUGGAGCGGUGAAAUGCGUUGAUAUCCUAAGGAACACCGGUGGCGAAAGCGGCUCACUGGAUCUUUUCUGACGCUGAGGCACGAAAGCUAGGGUAGCGAACGGG